UACGUAGGGGGCUAGCGUUGUCCGGAUUUAUUGGGCGUAAAGAGCGUGUAGGCGGCCAGGUAGGUCUGCUGUGAAAACUCGAGGCUCAACCUCGAGACGUCGGCGGAAACCAUCUGGCUAGAGUCCGGAAGAGGAGAGUGGAAUUCCCGGUGUAGCGGUGAAAUGCGCAGAUAUCGGGAAGAACACCCGUGGCGAAGGCGGCUCUCUGGGACGGUACCGACGCUGAGACGCGAAAGCGUGGGGAGCGAACAGG
This 253-nucleotide ribosomal RNA is filed under the name uncultured bacterium. RNAcentral's name for it is "partial 16S ribosomal RNA". It matches the Rfam family "Bacterial small subunit ribosomal RNA", at positions 524 to 776 of the family's 1533-position model. The record is from RNAcentral.